RNAcentral lists this ribosomal RNA (1199 nucleotides) under uncultured Cortinarius. RNAcentral describes it as "eukaryotic LSU rRNA". The stretch from base 566 to 1199 matches the Rfam family "Eukaryotic large subunit ribosomal RNA", at positions 1 to 620 of the family's 3401-position model. Lineage: Eukaryota; Fungi; Basidiomycota; Agaricomycetes; Agaricales; Cortinariaceae. The record is from RNAcentral.
GAGGAAGUAAAAGUCGUAACAAGGUUUCCGUAGGUGAACCUGCGGAAGGAUCAUUAUUGAAAUAAACCUGAUGGGUUGUUGCUGGUUCUCUUGGGAGCAUGUGCACGCCUUGUCAUCUUUAUAUCUCCACCUGUGCACUUUUUGUAGACCCCUUAUCUGGUCUAUGUUGGCUUCAUUAUACCCCAAUGUAUGUUAACAGAAUGUUGUGCCUAUAAUAUAAUAUAUAUACAACUUUCAGCAACGGAUCUCUUGGCUCUCGCAUCGAUGAAGAACGCAGCGAAAUGCGAUAAGUAAUGUGAAUUGCAGAAUUCAGUGAAUCAUCGAAUCUUUGAACGCACCUUGCGCUCCUUGGUAUUCCGAGGAGCAUGCCUGUUUGAGUGUCAUUAAUAUAUCAAACCCUUUGGUUUUGGAUGUGGGGGGUAUGCUGGGCCUCUUAAAGGGGUUCAGCUCUCCUGAAAUGCAUUAGCAGAACGACCUUGUUCAUUGGUGUGAUAACUAUCUACGCUAUUGAAUGUGAGGGACAAGUUCAGCUUUCUAACAGUCCUUGGACAAUUCAUCAUUAAUGUGACCUCAAAUCAGGUAGGACUACCCGCUGAACUUAAGCAUAUCAAUAAGCGGAGGAAAAGAAACUAACAAGGAUUCCCCUAGUAACUGCGAGUGAAGCGGGAAAAGCUCAAAUUUAAAAUCUGGCGGUCUUUUUGGCUGUCCGAGUUGUAAUCUAGAGAAGUGUUAUCCGCGCUGGACCGUGUACAAGUCUCCUGGAAUGGAGCAUCAUAGAGGGUGAGAAUCCCGUCUUUGACAUGGACUGCCAGGGCUUUGUGAUGCGCUCUCAAAGAGUCGAGUUGUUUGGGAAUGCAGCUCAAAAUGGGUGGUAAAUUCCAUCUAAAGCUAAAUAUUGGCGAGAGACCGAUAGCGAACAAGUACCGUGAGGGAAAGAUGAAAAGAACUUUGGAAAGAGAGUUAAACAGUACGUGAAAUUGCUGAAAGGGAAACGCUUGAAGUCAGUCGCGUCAUCCAGGAAUCAACCUUGCUUCUGCUGGGUGCACUUCCUGGUUUGAUGGGUCAGCAUCAAUUUCGACCGUUGGAAAAAGGUUAAGGGAAUGUGGCAUCUUUGGAUGUGUUAUAGCCCUUGGUCGCAUACAAUGGUUGGGAUUGAGGAACUCAGCACGCCGCAAGGCCGGGUUUUUAUACCACGUACG